CCCGGUUUUCGGGGCAGGGUGCGUCGAUCUGAUUCUUCGACAAUUCCCGACCGGCGGUUAAAGUCCGCGAGUUCUCGGCGAUAUUCGCUGAAAGAGAGCUGAACCGGUGAAAUUCCGGUACCGACGGUACAGUCCGGAUGGGAGAAAACCAGU
RNAcentral lists this non-coding RNA (153 nucleotides) under Marispirochaeta. RNAcentral describes it as "Candidatus Marispirochaeta FMN sequence". It matches the Rfam family "FMN riboswitch aptamer (RFN element)". Rfam says of the family: The RFN element is a highly conserved domain that is found frequently in the 5'-untranslated regions of prokaryotic mRNAs that encode for flavin mononucleotide (FMN) biosynthesis and transport proteins. Lineage: Bacteria; Pseudomonadati; Spirochaetota; Spirochaetia; Spirochaetales; Spirochaetaceae. The record is from RNAcentral. RNAcentral also lists the same sequence under 1 other name.